GUCGCAAGACCAAAGAGGGGGACCUUCGGGCCUCUUGCCAUCGGAUGUGCCCAGAUGGGAUUAGCUUGUUGGUGGGGUAACGGCUCACCAAGGCGACGAUCCCUAGCUGGUCUGAGAGGAUGACCAGCCACACUGGAACUGAGACACGGUCCAGACUCCUACGGGAGGCAGCAGUGGGGAAUAUUGCACAAUGGGCGCAAG
This 201-nucleotide ribosomal RNA is filed under the name Escherichia coli. Its description in RNAcentral is "partial 16S ribosomal RNA". It matches the Rfam family "Bacterial small subunit ribosomal RNA", at positions 185 to 381 of the family's 1533-position model. The record is from RNAcentral. Lineage: Bacteria; Pseudomonadati; Pseudomonadota; Gammaproteobacteria; Enterobacterales; Enterobacteriaceae.